Molecule: ribosomal RNA, 143 nt
Filed under: uncultured fungus
Lineage: Eukaryota; Fungi
Description: partial small subunit ribosomal RNA
Rfam family: Eukaryotic small subunit ribosomal RNA
Source: RNAcentral
UAGUUCGUGGGGUGACUUGUCUGCUUAAUUGCGAUAACGAACGAGACCUUCACCUGCUAAAUAGCCAGGCUAGCUUUGGCUGGUCGCCGGCUUCUUAGAGGGACUAUCGGCUCAAGCCGAUGGAAGUUGGAGGCAAUAACAGG